GACGAACGCUGGCGGCGUGCUUAACACAUGCAAGUCGAACGGAAAGGCCUCUUUCGGGGGGUACUCGAGUGGCGAACGGGUGAGUAACACGUGAGUAACCUGCCCUUGUCUUUGGGAUAACUACCGGCGACUGGGGCUAGUACCGGCUAGGAGCUCCUGCUGCAUGGUGGGGUUUGGAAUGUUUCACCGGCUGGGGAUGGAUUGGCGGCUUAUCCGCUAGUUGGUGGGGUAUUGGCUUACUAAGGCUUUGACGGGUAGCCGACAUGUGAGGGUGACCGGCGACAUUAGGACUGAGAGACGGCCCAGACUCCUACGGGAGGCAGCAGUGGGGAAUAUGGCAGAAUGGGGGGAAGCCUGAUGCAGCGGCGCCGUGAGCGGGAUGACGGGCUUCGGGUGGUAAACCGCUUUCGCUCAUGCCGAAGCUUUGUUGGAGGGUAGUGGGUAAAGAGGCACGGGCUAAUUACGU
RNAcentral lists this ribosomal RNA (466 nucleotides) under uncultured bacterium. Its description in RNAcentral is "partial 16S ribosomal RNA". It matches the Rfam family "Bacterial small subunit ribosomal RNA", at positions 28 to 506 of the family's 1533-position model. The record is from RNAcentral.